Molecule: long non-coding RNA, 423 nt
Organism: Bombina bombina (fire-bellied toad)
Lineage: Eukaryota; Metazoa; Chordata; Amphibia; Anura; Bombinatoridae
Exons: 3
Source: RefSeq, a predicted model, not a curated record
GGAUUGUGCCUACAGCAACAUGAAAGCUCCUCUGCCGCAUGUCAGCAGAACAGGAAAAUGGAUGUCACUUUUCUGUAACAUCAAGAAUUUCUGUUGAGAUCAAGAGAACAUUGGGCAGGGAUUUUAGCAUGCACGGUAUUUGCUGCAGAGAACUAUACAGAAGUAUUGCACCAUGUCCAGCAGACAGCUACAUUCCAUGAUUGUGAAUCCACCUCCCCCAGAGCACAUAAACCGUAAAAAAAACGGUCGUCUAACUAAUCAGCUUCAGUACCUGGAAAAGGUGGUGCUGAAGAUAAUAUGGAGACACAACUUUUCCUGGCCAUUCCAACAACCUGUAGAUGCUGUAAAACUAAAUAUUCCAGAUUAUUAUAAAAUAAUAAAGACCCCAAUGGACCUGAGUACAAUAAGAAAGAGGCUGGAAUA